Molecule: ribosomal RNA, 376 nt
Filed under: Streptococcus mitis
Lineage: Bacteria; Bacillati; Bacillota; Bacilli; Lactobacillales; Streptococcaceae
Description: bacterial SSU rRNA
Rfam family: Bacterial small subunit ribosomal RNA
Source: RNAcentral
GACGAACGCUGGCGGCGUGCCUAAUACAUGCAAGUAGAACGCUGAAGGAGGAGCUUGCUUCUCUGGAUGAGUUGCGAACGGGUGAGUAACGCGUAGGUAACCUGCCUGGUAGCGGGGGAUAACUAUUGGAAACGAUAGCUAAUACCGCAUAACAGUAGAUGUUGCAUGACAUUUGCUUAAAAGGUGCAAUUGCAUCACUACCAGAUGGACCUGCGUUGUAUUAGCUAGUUGGUGGGGUAACGGCUCACCAAGGCGACGAUACAUAGCCGACCUGAGAGGGUGAUCGGCCACACUGGGACUGAGACACGGCCCAGACUCCUACGGGAGGCAGCAGUAGGGAAUCUUCGGCAAUGGACGGAAGUCUUGACCGAGCAAC